AUGAAACACUCCUACGGGAGGCAGCAGUGGGGAAUAUUGGACAAUGGGGGGAACCCUGAUCCAGCCAUGCCGCGUGUGUGAAGAAGGCCUUAUGGUUGUAAAGCACUUUAAGCGAGGAGGAGGCUACUGAGACUAAUACUCUUGGAUAGUGGACGUUACUCGCAGAAUAAGCACCGGCUAACUCUGUGCCAGCAGCCGCGGUAAUACAGAGGGUGCGAGCGUUAAUCGGAUUUACUGGGCGUAAAGCGUGCGUAGGCGGCUUUUUAAGUCGGAUGUGAAAUCCCCGAGCUUAACUUGGGAAUUGCAUUCGAUACUGGGAAGCUAGAGUAUGGGAGAGGAUGGUAGAAUUCCAGGUGUAGCGGUGAAAUGCGUAGAGAUCUGGAGGAAUACCGAUGGCGAAGGCAGCCACCUGGCCUAAUACUGACGCUGAGGUACGUAAGCAUGGGGAGCAAACAGGAUUAGAAACCCCAGUAGUCCGAAGUUC
Molecule: ribosomal RNA, 484 nt
Filed under: uncultured bacterium
Lineage: Bacteria
Description: bacterial SSU rRNA
Rfam family: Bacterial small subunit ribosomal RNA
Source: RNAcentral